Molecule: ribosomal RNA, 497 nt
Filed under: uncultured bacterium
Lineage: Bacteria
Description: partial 16S ribosomal RNA
Rfam family: Bacterial small subunit ribosomal RNA
Source: RNAcentral
GAUGAACGCUGGCGGCGUGCCUAAUACAUGCAAGUCGAGCGAACAGACGAGGAGCUUGCUCCUCUGACGUUAGCGGCGGACGGGUGAGUAACACGUGGAUAACCUACCUAUAAGACUGGGAUAACUUCGGGAAACCGGAGCUAAUACCGGAUAAUAUAUUGAACCGCAUGGUUCAAUAGUGAAAGACGGUUUUGCUGUCACUUAUAGAUGGAUCCGCGCCGCAUUAGCUAGUUGGUAAGGUAACGGCUUACCAAGGCAACGAUGCGUAGCCGACCUGAGAGGGUGAUCGGCCAAAAUGGAACUGAGACACGGUCCAGAAUCCUACGGGAGGCAGCAGUAGGGAAUCUUCCGCAAUGGGCGAAAGCCUGACGGAGCAAAGCCGCGUGAGGGAUGAAGGUCUUCGGAUCGUAAAACUCUGUUAUUAGGGAAGAACAAAUGUGUAAGUAACUAUGCACGUCUUGACGGUAACUAAUCAGAAAGCCACGGCUAACUACGUG